GUCGUUGAUUUCACACUGCCGAGAAAAGCCUCUAGAUAGAAAAUAGGUGCCCGUACCGCAAACCGACACAGGUAGUCAAGAUGAGAAUUCUAAGGUGAGCGAGCGAACUCUCGUUAAGGAACUCGGCAAAAUGACCCCGUAACUUCGGGAGAAGGGGUGCUCUUUAGGGUUAACGCCCAGAAGAGCCGCAGUGAAUAGGCCCAAGCGACUGUUUAUCAAAAACACAGGUCUCUGCUAAACCGUAAGGUGAUGUAUAGGGGCUGACGCCUGCCCGGUGCUGGAAGGUUAAGAGGAGUGGUUAGCUUCUGCGAAGCUACGAAUCGAAGCCCCAGUAAACGGCGGCCGUAACUAUAACGGUCCUAAGGUAGCGAAAUUCCUUGUCGGGUAAGUUCCGACCCGCACGAAAGGCGUAACGAUUUGGGCACUGUCUCAACGAGAGACUCGGUGAAAUCAUAGUACCUGUGAAGAUGCAGGUUACCCGCGACAGGACGGAAAGACCCCGUGGAGCUUUACUGUAGCCUGAUAUUGAAAUUCGGCACAGCUUGUACAGGAUAGGUAGGAGCCUUUGAAACGUGAGCGCUAGCUUACGUG
Molecule: ribosomal RNA, 591 nt
Filed under: Staphylococcus aureus
Lineage: Bacteria; Bacillati; Bacillota; Bacilli; Caryophanales; Staphylococcaceae
Description: partial 23S ribosomal RNA
Rfam family: Bacterial large subunit ribosomal RNA
Source: RNAcentral